RNAcentral lists this ribosomal RNA (503 nucleotides) under uncultured bacterium. RNAcentral's name for it is "partial 16S ribosomal RNA". It matches the Rfam family "Bacterial small subunit ribosomal RNA", at positions 30 to 523 of the family's 1533-position model. The record is from RNAcentral.
AUUGAACGCUGGCGGCAGGCUUAACACAUGCAAGUCGAGCGGGGUGAUGGUGCUUGCACUAUCACUUAGCGGCGGACGGGUGAGUAAUGCUUAGGAAUCUGCCUAUUAGUGGGGGACAGCAUCUCGAAAGGGAUGCUAAUACCGCAUACGUCCUACGGGAGAAAGCAGGGGAUCACUUGUGACCUUGCGCUAAUAGAUGAGCCUAAGUCGGAUUAGCUAGUUGGUGGGGUAAAGGCCUACCAAGGCGACGAUCUGUAGCGGGUCUGAGAGGAUGAUCCGCCACACUGGGACUGAGACACGGGCCAGACUCCUACGGGAGGCAGCAGUGGGGAAUAUUGGACAAUGGGGGGGACCCUGAUCCAGCCAUGCCGCGUGUGUGAAGAAGGCCUUAUGGUUGUAAAGCACUUUAAGCGAGGAGGAGGCUCUUUUGGUUAAUACCCAAGAUGAGUGGACGUUACUCGCAGAAUAAGCACCGGCUAACUCUGUGCCAGCCGCCGCAGUAA